RNAcentral lists this ribosomal RNA (900 nucleotides) under Triticum aestivum (bread wheat). Its description in RNAcentral is "partial small subunit ribosomal RNA". Lineage: Eukaryota; Viridiplantae; Streptophyta; Magnoliopsida; Poales; Poaceae. The record is from RNAcentral.
AUGAGCCGGAGCGGCGUCUGUGCAAGCUCGUGCAUCGCGGCGGAGUACUCGGCGAGGGAGCUCCAUGCUUCCCGGCUUGUCCGGCCACUGCCGGACGUGCUCGUCGGUGACGGGGUGGCAGGUGAUUUUGAGGUAGUCGAGCCAAUAGCGGUCUUGAUGAUCUUGACGACGAUCAUGUGGCGCUGGCGAUCGUCGGAGAUGGCGGCAUGGUGGAGGUCAAUGACCGACAUGGCUACAUCGAAGCUGGGUCUGUUGUUGAGGAGUGAAGGGCGCUUCUCUGGGAUGCGCCUGCGCCUACAACCAGGUGACCCGCGAGUGCUCCACUCCACCGGCGGCCUCACGAGCUUCGCGAUGUCAGCCAACACCACCGACGGCAGGAUGGAGCUCCUCCCGGAAGAGUCGUUCGCCGUCGUCGGCGCGUGCGCGCCGGGCAGCCUGCUGAGGUCGCUCCCCGCGGGCGCCACCGGCAUUGCGGGGUUAUCUCGGCGCCCUCGCUCGCUGCCAUCGCAGUUCGCCGCACAACGCGGUUUCGGAGCUAAGUUCGUCCCGUGCCUCCCCGACUUCGCGACCUUGGGCUACGGCGAUGGCAUCUCUGUGUCGUGGCGUGAGGCCGACGCUCCAGCGACCCUGAUUCGCGGCGCGCUCGACCUCGACGCUGCCACGGGCCGCGACGGCGUCGUGCUGAGCACCGCCAUGUCGUACAUGAUCAUGCGUCCCGACGUGUUCCGCGCGUUCGCCAAGGCAUUCGACCUUGCCAUUACCAGGUACCCAUCCUUUCAUCAUGAACCACGGCGCUAUCACAGGCAAGGGGAAGAAUCCGACGAGCACGAUGAAGCGGGUGGUGCCGGCGCCGAAGCCGUUCGAGCUACAUUUCUGCUCCGGUGCUACCCCCUGGACUGA